GAUGAACGCUAGCGGGAGGCCUAACACAUGCAAGCCGAGCGGUAUUUGUUCUUCGGAACAGAGAGAGCGGCGCACGGGUGCGGAACACGUGUGCAACCUGCCUUUAUCUGGGGGAUAGCCUUUCGAAAGGAAGAUUAAUACCCCAUAAUAUAUUGAGUGGCAUCAUUUGAUAUUUAAAACUACGGUGGAUAGAGAUGGGCACUCGCAAGAUUAGAUAGUUGGUGAGGUAACGGCUCACCAAGUCAAUGAUCUUUAGGGGGCAUGAGAGGGUGAUCCCCCACACGGGUACUGAGACACGGACCAGACUCCUACGGGAGGCAGCAGUGAGGAAUAUUGGACAAUGGGUUAGCGCCUGAUCCAGCCAUCCCGCGUGAAGGACGACGGCCCUAUGGGUUGUAAACUUCUUUUGUACAGGGAUAAACCUACUCUCGUGAGAGUAGCUGAAGGUACUAUACGAAUAAGCACCGGCUAACUCCGUG
RNAcentral lists this ribosomal RNA (479 nucleotides) under uncultured bacterium. Its description in RNAcentral is "partial 16S ribosomal RNA". It matches the Rfam family "Bacterial small subunit ribosomal RNA", at positions 28 to 507 of the family's 1533-position model. The record is from RNAcentral.